Molecule: ribosomal RNA, 305 nt
Filed under: uncultured bacterium
Lineage: Bacteria
Description: bacterial SSU rRNA
Rfam family: Bacterial small subunit ribosomal RNA
Source: RNAcentral
CUCCUACGGGGGGCAGCAGUGGGGAAUAUUGGGCAAUGGGCGCAAGCCUGACCCAGCAACGCCGCGUGAAGGAAGAAGGCUUUCGGGUUGUAAACUUCUUUUAAGAGGGAAGAGAAGAAGACGGUACCUCUUGAAUAAGCCACGGCUAACUACGUGCCAGCAGCCGCGGUAAUACGUAGGUGGCAAGCGUUAUCCGGAUUUACUGGGUGUAAAGGGCGUGUAGGCGGGGACGCAAGUCAGAUGUGAAAACCACGGGCUCAACCUGUGGCCUGCAUUUGAAACUGUGUUUCUUGAGUACUGGAGAG